AGUGAACGCUGGCGGUAGGCCUAACACAUGCAAGUCGAACGGCAGCACAGUAAGAGCUUGCUCUUACGGGUGGCGAGUGGCGGACGGGUGAGGAAUACAUCGGAAUUUACUUUUUCGUGGGGGAUAACGUAGGGAAACUUACGCUAAUACCGCAUACGACCUACGGGUGAAAGAAGGGGAUUUUUGGACCUUUCGCGAUUGAAUGAGCCGAUGUCGGAUUAGCUAGUUGGCGGGGUAAAGGCCAACCAAGGCGACGAUCCGUAGCUGGUCUGAGAGGAUGAUCAGCCACACUGGAACUGAGACACGGUCCAGACUCCUACGGGAGGCAGCAGUGGGGAAUAUUGGACAAUGGGCGCAAGCCUGAUCCAGCCAUACCGCGUGGGUGAAGAAGGCCUUCGGGUUGUAAAGCCCUUUUGUUGGGAAAGAAAAGCAGCAGGUUAAUACCCCGCUGUUCUGACGGUACCCAAAGAAUAAGCACCGGCUAACUUCGUG
RNAcentral lists this ribosomal RNA (492 nucleotides) under uncultured bacterium. Its description in RNAcentral is "partial 16S ribosomal RNA". It matches the Rfam family "Bacterial small subunit ribosomal RNA", at positions 29 to 507 of the family's 1533-position model. The record is from RNAcentral.